RNAcentral lists this unclassified non-coding RNA (371 nucleotides) under soil metagenome. RNAcentral describes it as "partial contains 5.8S ribosomal RNA, internal transcribed spacer 2, and large subunit ribosomal RNA". The stretch from base 1 to 120 matches the Rfam family "5.8S ribosomal RNA", at positions 35 to 154 of the family's 154-position model. The record is from RNAcentral.
GAUGAAGAACGUAGCGAAAUGCGAUAAGUAGUGUGAAUUGCAGAAUUCAGUGAAUCAUCGAAUCUUUGAACGCACAUUGCGCCCCCCGGCAUUCCGGGGAGCAUGCCUGUUCGAGCGUCUCUUGGAAUACCCCUCACGCCGGCGGAGGCGUGGUCAUGGCGGCGGUGGCGUGCCCCGGGAGGGAGGCCACCGCGCUGGAAUCCAUGGGCGGACGCCUGCCGCGUGGCCGAGCGUGAUAAGACGCACUGGCGCUCGCGCGCGGCGAGGCUGCCGGCCCUGGCCCGCUCGUCGGGCGGGGACAGCAACACUUGGGAACUCCUCGAAUCAGGUAGGGAUACCCGCUGAACUUAAGCAUAUCAAUAAGCGGAGGA